UUGGCUCUCGCAUCGAUGAAGAACGCAGCGAAAUGCGAUAAGUAAUGUGAAUUGCAGAAUUCAGUGAAUCAUCGAAUCUUUGAACGCACCUUGCGCUCCUUGGUAUUCCGAGGAGCAUGCCUGUUUGAGUGUCAUUAAAUUCUCAACCUUUAUCAGC
This 157-nucleotide ribosomal RNA is filed under the name Hebeloma sinapizans. RNAcentral describes it as "5.8S ribosomal RNA". The stretch from base 1 to 134 matches the Rfam family "5.8S ribosomal RNA", at positions 21 to 154 of the family's 154-position model. Rfam says of the family: 5.8S ribosomal RNA (5.8S rRNA) is a component of the large subunit of the eukaryotic ribosome. It is transcribed by RNA polymerase I as part of the 45S precursor that also contains 18S and 28S rRNA. The record is from RNAcentral. Lineage: Eukaryota; Fungi; Basidiomycota; Agaricomycetes; Agaricales; Hymenogastraceae.